UACGUAGGUGACAAGCGUUGUCCGGAUUUACUGGGCGUAAAGAGCGCGCAGGCGGUCGUUCAAGUCGCGUGUGAAAGCCCCCCGGCUCAACUGGGGAGGGUCACGCGAUACUGAUCGACUCGAAGGCAGGAGAGGGAAGUGGAAUUCCCGGUGUAGUGGUGAAAUGCGUAGAUAUCGGGAGGAACACCAGUGGCGAAGGCGACUUCCUGGCCUGUUCUUGACGCUGAGGCGCGAAAGCUAGGGGAGCAAACGGGG
Molecule: ribosomal RNA, 255 nt
Filed under: uncultured bacterium
Lineage: Bacteria
Description: partial 16S ribosomal RNA
Rfam family: Bacterial small subunit ribosomal RNA
Source: RNAcentral